GGUGGUCUUGGCGAGCGGUGGUCUGCGCUUCGGUUUAGCCUCGCACACUUGCGACCUGAGACGACACAGGGCUCAGACUCCGCAGGUAAGAAGAACUUUGCUUAGCCACCUUGUUUUCUGAUCCGCUCGCCGCUGCCGAGAACCCCCUUGGACCAAAUAGGCGCCCGCCACUUUAGUUUCAGCUGUAUCGGAUUUCCACCCCCCUACAAACAAAUCAGUUUUGAACCCGUGGUUUUUGUGAGGUUUAGCAACACCGAGGUGAGCCAGAUCUCAUUCCGGUCCAUCCGAGGACUGCCACCUAGACAGCAGGUGACUCCCAGCGGACCCCCCGCCCCCCAGCUUGUGUUCUCCCCUCAGCUAAGCAGUUAAGACGGGCAGCGAUACGGAGGUCCCUAGCGCCACCAGCGCCGCCAAGAUGUACGGCCUGUACCUGGAAGCGGUCAACGACUACAUCAACGAGUCCUACGGCGAGGACGUGUGGCGGCUGAUUGAGAACCGAGCCGAGAUCCCGCACCUCAAGUUUGUCAGGCAUCAGAUGUACAAUGACAACCUGAUUCUACGUCUGGCCAAGGCGGCAGGUGAAGUUUUGGGAAAGACACAUGACGAGCUGAUGUACGCCUUUGGAGUCUACAUGGUCAAGAGGAUCGGAAAUUACGGCUACGAGCGCAUCCUCAAGGUUUUGGGCCGUAACGUGCGCGACUUCAUCAACGAGCUGGACAACUUGCACGAGUAUUUCCGCUUCUCCUUCCCAAAAGUGCAGCCGCCCAGCUUCUGCGUGGAGGAGGAGUGCGAGACCAGUCUGACGCUGCACUAUCGAAGCACACGCAAAGGAUUUACGCAGUUUGUCAAAGGCCAGCUCUCCCAGGUGGGCCGUCAGUUUUACAACACAGACAUUGAAGUGGAGAUCUUGUCCAAGGAGGAAACGGAGAAGAUGACUUAUGUGGUGUAUAAGAUGAACUUUGACAACGCGGCCUUCAAACACCGCAUGCCGCAGCAAAAGACGGCACCGAGCUAUGAGAAGCUUCCCAUGAAGCGAGGUAUCUUUUUUGACAUGUUCCCCUUCAGCGUAAUCUUCCGCCGCGACAUGACCAUGUACCGAAUUGGCGACGGCCUCAAAGAGGUCUUCUCUGACCUCCAGGGCAAGAAGGUGAACGAGGAGUUCACCCUAGUCAGGCCCAUGUUGGAGUUCAGCUGGGACAACAUCUACACCCACCUGAACAAUGUGUUUGAGCUGCUGUCUAAAGCAGUGGUGGAGAGCAAACAAAAAGUAAAUAUUCCCAAACUGAACAAGGAGGAACCUGAAGAGAAAGAGGAAAGCGAGAAGACCAAGAGGGAACAAGAAAGAGAACAAAAGUCUGAGGAGAUGAAUGGCACAGAUCAGGAGUACAGCAGCACUGUGGCGCAGUACAAUAGCACCACCAACUCUGGAGGUGAAGACAUCGAGCUGUUGGCCUUCCAGACCGUCACAGGAAAAUGCAGCGAGACCAUUUUUGAGGACAUGCGAGAGCCCCCCAAAAAGCCUCUCCACCUGAAGGGCCAGAUGAAGUAUGUCCCGCAGUGGGACUCGCUCAUCUUCCUGGGGACGCCCAUUAUUGAGACGGUGGAGGACAUGAUCAAGAUGGGCGUCUACGUCAACGACUUGAACCUGCACGACUCCAGCAGGGAGCUGAUCCUGGCCGGGACGCAGCAGUCGGCCGAGCUGCAGCUGGCCCUGGAUCAGGAGCAACAAAAGUAUGCGCAGCUGCAGGAGAUCAUCAAGAAGCUGGAUGAAGAGAAGAAGCGCGGCGACUCCUUGCUGUACGCCAUGAUCCCUAAAGCCGUGGCCGACCGUCUCAGGAAAGGAAUCACCGCCUUGGAGACGUGCCAGGUCUUCCCGGACGUGACCAUCCUGUUCAGCGACGUGGUCAAGUUCAACGAGAUCUGCAUCCACAUUACUCCCAUGCAAGUGGUGGACAUGCUCAAUGAGAUCUACAUCGUCUUUGACACGCUCAGUGAAAAGCACAACGUCUACAAGGUGGAGACCAUUCGCGAUGCUUACAUGGUCGUGGCGGGCGUGCCCAACAAGACCACAUUCCACGCACAUCACAUCUGCGACAUGGCCCUGGACAUGUUGAGCUCCAUUGACCACCUGAAGGACCCGUCCACAGGGGACAACAUCCAGAUCCGAGUGGGUGUCCACUCAGGAAUGGUGGUGGCCGGCGUGGUGGGCCUGAAGAUGCCUCGCUAUUGUCUCUUUGGCGAUACGGUCAACACCGCCUCCAGGAUGGAGAGCAACGGCGUGGGUAUGCAGAUACACAUCAGCCAGACCACCAAAGACCAUCUGGAACAUGAGCCAUACAUCAUCGAGGAGAGGGGCAAGAUAUUUGUCAAGGGUAAAGGCUACAUGAAGACAUACUGGCUGAAGGGAAAGAAAGAUCUUUCUUUCAAGACUCCGGCGGAGUUGCGCUACAGCAGCGAACAGAAGGACUCUGAUGACAAAAGCUCCAACGGUUCCGAAAGCACCGACGGCAAGCACAUGUCGUCCAGCCAGCCCAUCAGCGGUGGCGAAGACCAAGCGGAGGGCAGCCCCAGCGACCUCCGCCAGGAUACCCUGCCGCUGCCCGAGGGCACCAGCGAGCCCACGGGCGCGCCGGGCGACCUCCAGGAGAAGGAGAAGUCCAAAAAGACGAAGAACAACAAAGGCGCCAAGGCUGAGGAGGGGUUGGGGUUCGCGGCAUCGGAGCUGGCGCCACCCGUCGAUGACUCCGAGCACCCAGGGCCCAUGCUCAACAUGAAGAGGAAUAGCUUCAGGCAGCAGUACGCCAAGCUGCCCACAAACCUACCCAUAAGGAGCGCCUCGUGUACCCUCCUGUGAGCACGUGGCACCGUGCCAUGAUCACAAUGUCAUAAAGUCAUGACAACAGGACGCCGUGAUGUCAUCGCGCUGUGGCAGUGAGAAACGGCGGUGUGUAUGGGAAGCCUUUUGAGUUUUUAUUCCAUGACAAUUAUAUCCAGUUUAAGGUUCACAUAGUAGUUUGCGCUUUGUCCUCAGGAGAAAAACAAUUCAGCACAUCAGUAGAACAACUCGAACCCAAGGUAAAAAGAACAAGUGGUUAUCACUUGUAAGGUUAUUUCCACUUGUAAAGUAAGGCAAGGCAGCUUUAUUUCUGGAGCACAUUUCAUGCACAAGUGAACUCAAUGUGCCUCACAUACAAGAGUUAAAAUUCAACAUCGAUGCAUCCAUCCAUUUUCGACUUUGCUUAUUCUCAAGAGCGCGUGGGUACACCCUGAACUGGUCGCCAGCCGAUCGCAGGGCACACAGACGAAUAAUCCGCGCUCACCAUCACACCUAGUGACAAUUUAGAGUGUUUUAAGCUGCCAUGCAUGUUUUUAGAACGUGGGACGAAACCGGAAUACCCGGAGAAAACCCACGCAGGCACAGUGAAAACACGCAAACUUCACACAGGAAAGCCGAAGCCGGAAUCGAAUCCUGCACCUCUGCACUGUGAGGCGGACGUGCGAACCAGUCGACUACCGUGUCGCGCGAAAAUUCAAUAUUUUAAAAGGCAAAAUAUGAGAUUUAAAGGGAAAAGCUUUACGAAAAUAAAUAACAUUGAAAUUUAAGACACAGAGUAAAGAAAUCAAAAGUCAUUUAACAAAAUUACUCAAAGAAUGUACAGCAAAAGAACAUGGAAAUGCUCGAAAAGACUAAUCGUUCUGCUGGCAGCAUAACAGCUAAAUACUGAGGCACCUUGUUUGCUUUGAUCUCAACUAAAUGACCCUAGUCUACAGACCUCACAACACUACUGGGUAAUCCACGAUUUAUAGACCAGUAGCAUAAUUUAAAGUUCAUUCUGCAGUCUUGUCACUUGUGGCAAACGGCGUCCUAGCACAUGAACCUUGAACCGGAUAUCAACCAUAUGGAAUAUAAGACCAAACGACGACAUGGAAAGAAAGCCCUUUGAGCUUUUAUUCCAUAUCUUUGAUUUGGAGGCUAGUAGUGUGCAUACUAAUUGGGCCUAAUAGUGCAACUCGUGCUACUCGAUUAAAAAGUGCCACUCGUUAGUGGAGAAAAAAAAAUGUACGACAAUUGUUCUGCUUGUGUGCCGUAGUCGUUCCGCUAGUGUGCUAAAUUGUCUUACGAGUGAGGAAAAGGAGCGUAAUAGUAAAAUAUAGACGAAAUGAUCAAACGGCUUUCCAUAACAACAUAGCAUCACUAUAGCAUGACAUGCUUUAAGGUACAUUUUGUUUCCCCACUACUAGUGCAACUUUUGCCCUACUAGUGUAAGCUUGAGCUGGAUUUCCGCGAUAUCCACCUGAAGGUGCAUGUACUCCUACGCUCUUCGACCUCACUAGGAAGACAACUACAUGUUCCUAGUGAAAACUGUGCACAGAGUUGAUUGUCACGUCCGUUAAUUCCCAACAUGAUUUUAAUUCUGAUACACAAAAGUAGGAAGCAAUCGUAUGGGCAGACAGACACGUAAUUAUUAGUCUGAUUGUUUUGGUAAUGUUUUCAUCAUUUAAAAAAAAUUUUUUUUGAAUGAUGAUGCUAACAAAGUAGGGGAUGUUUUUGCUGUUCAAAGUAGACAAAAUGAUUACUGUGAUGUUUAUGUUGAGUGACAUGUAUUCUGCUUAUUGUCUUCAGAUAAAGAUGGAUGUACAGCCA
Hippocampus zosterae (dwarf seahorse) is the source of this 4645-nucleotide RNA transcript. It is a transcript of the gene named soluble guanylate cyclase 88E-like, with no coding region annotated. The transcript is spliced from 17 exons. NCBI's taxonomy places the organism in Eukaryota, Metazoa, Chordata, Actinopteri, Syngnathiformes, Syngnathidae. The record is from RefSeq and is a predicted model, not a curated record.